AAGGAGGCGGAACGGCCAGCUGACAGCAGCGUCCGCGCGGUUUCCCUCGGGAUGAAGCGCGGAUGACUGAGUGGCGGAACGGGUGAGUCACGCGUGGGCAACCCGCCCCGUGCCGGGGGACAACAGCCGGAAACGGCCGCUAAUAACCGCAUGAUUCCGGGAGGGCCGCACGGCCCUCGCCGGGAAAGCUCCGGCGGCACGGGAUGGGCCCGCGUCUGAUUAGUUUGUUGGCGGGGUAACGGCCCACCAAGACUGCGAUCAGCAGCCGGCCUGAGAGGGCGGCCGGCCACAUUGGGACUGAGACACGGCCCAGACUCCUGCGGGAGGCAGCAGUGGGGAAUAUUGCACAAUGGGGGAAACCCUGAUGCAGCGACGCCGCGUGGGCGACGAAGCGCUCCGGCGCGUAAAGCCCUGUCAGCAGGGAAGAAAAAAGACAGUACCUGACCAAGAAGCCCCGGCUAACUACGUGCCAGCAGCCGCGGUAAUACGUAGGGGGCAAGCGUUAUCCGGAUUCACUGGGCGUAAAGGGAGCGCAGGCGGCACGGCAAGUCUGGUGUGAAAGCCCGGGGCCCAACCCCGGGACUGCAUUGGAAACUGCCGGGCUGGAGUGCCGGAGGGGUAAGCGGAAUUCCUGGUGUAGCGGUGAAAUGCGCAGAUAUCAGGAAGAACACCGGUGGCGGAGGCGGCUUACUGGACGGCAACUGACGCUGAGGCUCGAAAGCGUGNGGAGCAAACAGGAUUAGAUACCCUGGUAGUCCACGCCGUANACGAUGAAUACCAGUUGUCGGGCGGGNAGGGGCCCGCCGGUGCCCCAGCUAACGCAGUAAGUAUUCCGCCUGGGGAGUACGUUCGCAAGAAUGAAACUCAAAGGAAUUGACGGGGACCCGCACAAGCGGUGGAGCAUGUGUUUUAUUUCGAAGCAACGCCAAAAACCUUUACAGGCCCUUGAA
Molecule: ribosomal RNA, 950 nt
Filed under: uncultured bacterium
Lineage: Bacteria
Description: bacterial SSU rRNA
Rfam family: Bacterial small subunit ribosomal RNA
Source: RNAcentral